RNAcentral lists this ribosomal RNA (236 nucleotides) under uncultured Staphylococcus sp. Its description in RNAcentral is "partial 16S ribosomal RNA". It matches the Rfam family "Bacterial small subunit ribosomal RNA", at positions 104 to 334 of the family's 1533-position model. The record is from RNAcentral. Lineage: Bacteria; Bacillati; Bacillota; Bacilli; Caryophanales; Staphylococcaceae.
GGGUGAGUAACACGUGGAUAACCUACCUAUAAGACUGGGAUAACUUCGGGAAACCGUAGCUAAUACCGGAUAAUAUUUUGAACAGCAUGGUUCAAAAGUGAAAGACGGUCUUGCUGUCACUUAUAGAUGGAUCCGCGCCGCAUUAGCUAGUUGGUAAGGUAACGGCUUACCAAGGCAACGAUGCAUAGCCGACCUGAGAGGGUGAUCGGCCACACUGGAACUGAGACACGGUCCAG